GAUGAACGCUGGCGGCGUGCCUAAUACAUGCAAGUCGAGCGAACAGACGAGGAGCUUGCUCCUCUGACGUUAGCGGCGGACGGGUGAGUAACACGUGGAUAACCUACCUAUAAGACUGGGAUAACUUCGGGAAACCGGAGCUAAUACCGGAUAAUAUAUUGAACCGCAUGGUUCAAUAGUGAAAGACGGUUUUGCUGUCACUUAUAGAUGGAUCCGCGCCGCAUUAGCUAGUUGGUAAGGUAACGGCUUACCAAGGCAACGAUGCGUAGCCGACCUGAGAGGUGAAUCGGCCACACGGGAACUGAGACACGGUCAGGACUCCUACGGGAGGCAGCAGUAGGGAAUCUGCCGCAAUGGGCGAAAGCCUGACGAAGCAACGCCGCGUGAGUGAUGAAGGUCUUCGGAUCGUAAAACUCUGUUAUUAGGGAAGAACAAAUGUGUAAGUAACUAUGCACGUCUGGACGGUACCUAAUCAGAAAGCCACGGCUAACUACGU
This 496-nucleotide ribosomal RNA is filed under the name uncultured bacterium. RNAcentral describes it as "partial 16S ribosomal RNA". It matches the Rfam family "Bacterial small subunit ribosomal RNA", at positions 28 to 506 of the family's 1533-position model. The record is from RNAcentral.